Molecule: transfer RNA, 76 nt
Filed under: Bdellovibrio sp.
Lineage: Bacteria; Pseudomonadati; Bdellovibrionota; Bdellovibrionia; Bdellovibrionales; Pseudobdellovibrionaceae
Also listed under: 5 other names
Description: tRNA-Ala
Rfam family: tRNA
About the family: Transfer RNA (tRNA) molecules are approximately 80 nucleotides in length.
Source: RNAcentral
GGGCUCAUAGCUCAGUUGGGAGAGCGCAACGCUGGCAGUGUUGAGGUCAACGGUUCGAUCCCGUUUGGGUCCACCA